CAGCCGCCGCGGGAAUUCGUAGGGUGCAAGCGUUAAUCGGAAUUACUGGGCGUAAAGCGUGCGCAGGCGGUUCUAUAAGACAGAUGUGAAACCCCCGGGCUCAACCUGGGAACUGCAUUUGUGACUGUAGAGCUGGAGUGCGGCAGAGGGGGAUGGAAUUCCGCGUGUAGCAGUGAAAUGCGUAGAUAUGCGGAGGAACACCGAUGGCGAAGGCAACCCCCUGGGCCUGCACUGACGCUCAUGCACGAAAGCGUGGGGAGCAAACAGGAUUAGAUACCCCCGUAGUCCCUGUCUCUUAUAC
Molecule: ribosomal RNA, 301 nt
Filed under: uncultured bacterium
Lineage: Bacteria
Description: partial 16S ribosomal RNA
Rfam family: Bacterial small subunit ribosomal RNA
Source: RNAcentral